AAGUUACAAGCAACAGUGUGGAUGCCUUGGAGACAUCUGGCGAAGAAGGACGCGAUAAGCUGCGAUAAGCCCCGGGGAGCCGCAAAUAGGCAGAUCCGGGGAUUUCCGAAUGGGGAAACCCUGUCAGCAAUGACAAUUCCAUCCUGAAUACAUAGGGGUGAGAAAGCGAACCCGCUGAAGUGAAACAUCUCAGUAAGCGGAGGAAAAGAAAGCGAAUGCGAUUCCCUCAGUAGUGGCGAACGAAAGGGGAACAGCCCAAACCAAGAGGACUUGUCCUCCUGGGGUACGGGCCUCAAUGUGAGACUGGAAAGGUUAGGUGAAGUGUAUUGAAUGACACGUCACAGAGGGUGAAAACCCCGUAACCGAAAACCUGACCAGCUCUAGAGGUACCCAGAGUAGCACCGGACACGUGAAACCCGGUGUGAAAAAAACGCAGACCACUGCGUAAGGCUAAAUACACGAUGUCUACCGAUAGUGAAGAGUACCGCGAGGGAAAGGUGAAAAGCACCCCUGUUAGGGGAGUGAAAAGUACCUGAAACCUGUUGCUUACAAGCGGUCGGAGC
Molecule: ribosomal RNA, 563 nt
Filed under: Opitutia bacterium
Lineage: Bacteria; Pseudomonadati; Verrucomicrobiota; Opitutia
Description: partial 23S ribosomal RNA
Rfam family: Bacterial large subunit ribosomal RNA
Source: RNAcentral